AUAGGGAGGUCUUCGGUGGAGUGCACUGGUUUGAUUGUCCUUGAAUCUUCCCAAUUGAUACUGGUGUCAUCUUCAUAUGCUCGUUUGGCCAGAGCUGUUGUUAAUUUAGCAGUAGUGGUGUCCCUUCUAUGCUCUUUGAGCCUGUCCUCCAGGUUCCUUGCUGUUGCUCCCACGUAAAAUUCUUCUGUCCCUCUUUGCUGGUCAUGGAAGGGAAUCUGGUAUACCCCCGUUUUUUGACAUUCACUUCUCCUAUCGUUUUCGUUCCGCAACAUGUUAAAAGUCGUGGGGGGUCUCUUGUAGGCUCAUUUGGUUUGCUUCUUUCUCAGGAUGUUUUUUACUACUGGGAAGUCUCUUAUAGCUUCUGGGA
RNAcentral lists this long non-coding RNA (367 nucleotides) under Androctonus crassicauda. Lineage: Eukaryota; Metazoa; Arthropoda; Arachnida; Scorpiones; Buthidae. The record is from RNAcentral.